This 1949-nucleotide ribosomal RNA is filed under the name human gut metagenome. Its description in RNAcentral is "bacterial LSU rRNA". It matches the Rfam family "Bacterial large subunit ribosomal RNA", at positions 1 to 1977 of the family's 2925-position model. The record is from RNAcentral.
UUAAGCGACUAAGCGUACACGGUGGAUGCCCUGGCAGUCAGAGGCGAUGAAGGACGUGCUAAUCUGCGAUAAGCGUCGGUAAGGUGAUAUGAACCGUUAUAACCGGCGAUUUCCGAAUGGGGAAACCCAGUGUGUUUCGACACACUAUCAUUAACCGAAUCCAUAGGUUAAUGAGGCGAACCGGGGGAACUGAAACAUCUAAGUACCCCGAGGAAAAGAAAUCAACCGAGAUUCCCCCAGUAGCGGCGAGCGAACGGGGAGCAGCCCAGAGCCUGAAUCAGUGUGUGUGUUAGUGGAAGCGUCUGGAAAGGCGCGCGAUACAGGGUGACAGCCCCGUACACAAAAAUGCACAUGCUGUGAGCUCGAUGAGUAGGGCGGGACACGUGGUAUCCUGUCUGAAUAUGGGGGGACCAUCCUCCAAGGCUAAAUACUCCUGACUGACCGAUAGUGAACCAGUACCGUGAGGGAAAGGCGAAAAGAACCCCGGCGAGGGGAGUGAAAAAGAACCUGAAACCGUGUACGUACAAGCAGUGGGAGCACGCUUAGGCGUGUGACUGCGUACCUUUUGUAUAAUGGGUCAGCGACUUAUAUUCUGUAGCAAGGUUAACCGAAUAGGGGAGCCGAAGGGAAACCGAGUCUUAACUGGGCGUUAAGUUGCAGGGUAUAGACCCGAAACCCGGUGAUCUAGCCAUGGGCAGGUUGAAGGUUGGGUAACACUAACUGGAGGACCGAACCGACUAAUGUUGAAAAAUUAGCGGAUGACUUGUGGCUGGGGGGGAAAGGCCAAUCAAACCGGGAGAUAGCUGGUUCUCCCCGAAAGCUAUUUAGGUAGCGCCUCGUGAAUUCAUCUCCGGGGGUAGAGCACUGUUUCGGCAAGGGGGUCAUCCCGACUUACCAACCCGAUGCAAACUGCGAAUACCGGAGAAUGUUAUCACGGGAGACACACGGCGGGUGCUAACGUCCGUCGUGAAGAGGGAAACAACCCAGACCGCCAGCUAAGGUCCCAAAGUCAUGGUUAAGUGGGAAACGAUGUGGGAAGGCCCAGACAGCCAGGAUGUUGGCUUAGAAGCAGCCAUCAUUUAAAGAAAGCGUAAUAGCUCACUGGUCGAGUCGGCCUGCGCGGAAGAUGUAACGGGGCUAAACCAUGCACCGAAGCUGCGGCAGCGACGCUUAUGCGUUGUUGGGUAGGGGAGCGUUCUGUAAGCCUGUGAAGGUGUACUGUGAGGUAUGCUGGAGGUAUCAGAAGUGCGAAUGCUGACAUAAGUAACGAUAAAGCGGGUGAAAAGCCCGCUCGCCGGAAGACCAAGGGUUCCUGUCCAACGUUAAUCGGGGCAGGGUGAGUCGACCCCUAAGGCGAGGCCGAAAGGCGUAGUCGAUGGGAAACAGGUUAAUAUUCCUGUACUUGGUGUUACUGCGAAGGGGGGACGGAGAAGGCUAUGUUGGCCGGGCGACGGUUGUCCCGGUUUAAGCGUGUAGGCUGGUUUUCCAGGCAAAUCCGGAAAAUCAAGGCUGAGGCGUGAUGACGAGGCACUACGGUGCUGAAGCAACAAAUGCCCUGCUUCCAGGAAAAGCCUCUAAGCAUCAGGUAACAUCAAAUCGUACCCCAAACCGACACAGGUGGUCAGGUAGAGAAUACCAAGGCGCUUGAGAGAACUCGGGUGAAGGAACUAGGCAAAAUGGUGCCGUAACUUCGGGAGAAGGCACGCUGAUAUGUAGGUGAAGUCCCUCGCGGAUGGAGCUGAAAUCAGUCGAAGAUACCAGCUGGCUGCAACUGUUUAUUAAAAACACAGCACUGUGCAAACACGAAAGUGGACGUAUACGGUGUGACGCCUGCCCGGUGCCGGAAGGUUAAUUGAUGGGGUUAGCGCAAGCGAAGCUCUUGAUCGAAGCCCCGGUAAACGGCGGCCGUAACUAUAACGGUCCUAAGGUAGCGAAAUUCCUUGUCGGGU